AGUUCGGAUUGUAGUCUGCAACCCGACUACAUGAAGCUGGAAUCGCUAGUAAUCGCAGGUCAGCAUACUGCGGUGAAUACGUUCCCGGGUCUUGUACACACCGCCCGUCACACCAUGGGAGCCGGAAAUGCCCGAAGCCAGUGACCCAACCUUAGGGAGGGAGCUGUCGAAGGUGGAGCCGGUAACUGGGGUGAAGUCGUAACAAGGUAUC
Molecule: ribosomal RNA, 211 nt
Filed under: uncultured bacterium
Lineage: Bacteria
Description: partial 16S ribosomal RNA
Rfam family: Bacterial small subunit ribosomal RNA
Source: RNAcentral